GAUGAACGCUGGCGGCGUGCCUAAUACAUGCAAGUCGAGCGAACGGACGAGAAGCUUGCUUCUCUGAUGUUAGCGGCGGACGGGUGAGUAACACGUGGAUAACCUACCUAUAAGACUGGGAUAACUUCGGGAAACCGGAGCUAAUACCGGAUAAUAUUUUGAACCGCAUGGUUCAAAAGUGAAAGACGGUCUUGCUGUCACUUAUAGAUGGAUCCGCGCUGCAUUAGCUAGUUGGUAAGGUAACGGCUUACCAAGGCAACGAUGCAUAGCCGACCUGAGAGGGGGAUCCGGCAACCCGGAACCGGGACCAGGGCCCAGACUCUAAGGGGGGGAACCAGUGGGGAACUUCCGGCAUGGGGCGAAAGCUGACCGAGCAAAGCCGGGGUAGGUAUGAAAGUCUUCCGGUCGGAAAACCUCGUUUAUAGGGAAGAACAAUAUUGGAAAGAAACGGGCCAAACUUGACGGUACCUAAUCAGAAAGCCACGGCUAACUACGUG
This 497-nucleotide ribosomal RNA is filed under the name uncultured bacterium. RNAcentral describes it as "partial 16S ribosomal RNA". It matches the Rfam family "Bacterial small subunit ribosomal RNA", at positions 28 to 507 of the family's 1533-position model. The record is from RNAcentral.